Poecilia latipinna (sailfin molly) is the source of this 1028-nucleotide long non-coding RNA. RefSeq lists it as uncharacterized. Lineage: Eukaryota; Metazoa; Chordata; Actinopteri; Cyprinodontiformes; Poeciliidae. The transcript is spliced from 3 exons. The record is from RefSeq and is a predicted model, not a curated record.
GGCUCUAAACAGCGUGUUCAACAAGCGGCUCCUUACUUAUGCUGAAUAAGUCAUUGAUAUAAAACAACUGUAAACAAGCUGCUAAGUGUACAAAAUAUGUAUCGUUCUUACAUUGGAUUGGAAUUUGCGUCCAUUUUUUAAUAUUUAUUAGUGUUAGUGGUGAUACUUUAGUUCCAGUUAGUUCAUUGUGAUAAUAGUUCAGUCUCGAGCAUCACGGCUCAGUAGGCAUCGGUAAAGAUAAAACGGAGCUAUUUUCUCUCUUCUCGGAACUUUUACGCCACAAAGCAGUAUGAAGUGAGUCCUCUUUUUACUCCAAAGCGAGUGAGCACUCCAGGCUCAUCGGCUGUGUCAUCUGACCUGUGCUGCUGAGUCAGUGUGACAUCACGUUUACCUCUCCGGCCUAAAGAUGCGCACCAGACAAAUCGAGUGUGACCUUUUGUGGCUCUGAGCUUACUCCAUGGCUAGUCCUGUUUUAAAUUGGUGACCAUUCAGCGCCAAGCUGGACCCGAGGACUCAGCCUCCCGACACCCGUUCCUGUUCCACCGCCCCGGCCCCUGAACACUCCUCGGAUCACAGACGCAUACCUGAGCUCCACGGACCAGAGCUGCUAUUAGCCAGUGAGGAAGAGUGGGAGGAGGAGGAGGAGGAGGAGGAGGAGUACGUCGGUGUGCCCGCUGCACUUGAGGAGUUCAAAGCCACCUGCAAAGAUGCCGAGACCAUUACUGAUGUGUGUAACAGUGCUGACCUGCCAGAGCUCGAGAUUGUCAGCCUAUUGGAGGAGCAGCUGCCUGUCUACAAGCUGAGGGCCGACACCAUCUUCGGUUAUGAUCAGGAUGAUUGGCUGCACACGCCAUUGGUGGACCCCGACUCUUCCCUUGACCUUACCAAUGAGCAGAUAGAAGAGACCUUCAAAUACUUUUGUAAGUUCAUCUCUAAUUUGCAGUUCUAUCUAAUUAAAAACGAACACUGUAAUCAUAAUAAUAAUAACAACCAUACUUAGAAAAUUCUUAUUGAUUUAAGUCGGAGAG